RNAcentral lists this ribosomal RNA (404 nucleotides) under bacterium. RNAcentral's name for it is "partial 16S ribosomal RNA". It matches the Rfam family "Bacterial small subunit ribosomal RNA", at positions 355 to 776 of the family's 1533-position model. The record is from RNAcentral.
UGGGGAAUCUUGCGCAAUGGGCGAAAGCCUGACGCAGCCAUGCCGCGUGAAUGAUGAAGGUCUUAGGAUUGUAAAAUUCUUUCACCGGGGACGAUAAUGACGGUACCCGGAGAAGAAGCCCCGGCUAACUUCGUGCCAGCAGCCGCGGUAAUACGAAGGGGGCUAGCGUUGCUCGGAAUUACUGGGCGUAAAGGGCGCGUAGGCGGAUCGUUAAGUCAGAGGUGAAAUCCCAGGGCUCAACCCUGGAACUGCCUUUGAUACUGGCGAUCUUGAGUAUGAGAGAGGUAUGUGGAACUCCGAGUGUAGAGGUGAAAUUCGUAGAUAUUCGGAAGAAGAACAGUGGCGAAGGCGACAUACUGGCUCAUUACUGACGCUGAGGCGCGAAAGCGUGGGGAGCAAACAGG